GUGAUAUUGAGUCCUACCGCCGCAAAGUCGGUCGAGUCCGGCUACGCCCAGUGUGUACGUUCCAUUUGUUGGCUGUGUUGGCGGUGUGGAAGCGGUGAAACCUUUCAGCCAUGUCUGUGGUGCUUUACCCACAGGUGUAAGCGAGUGUCGGGCGGUGCUGUGCUUUCCCUAUGGUUCGCCGGCUCGUUUGCAUGGGUGCGGAUGCCCUUCAAAAGGUGUCUGUCCCCGGAUGGCACGUUUACUUUGAACAAAUUUGAGUGCUCAAACCAGGCCAUCGCUGCCUGAAAAUUUUUGCAUCCAAUAAUGGAAUAGGACUUCGGUUCUAUUUUGUUGGUUUUCGGAUCCGAAGUAAUGAUCAAAAGAGACAGGCGGCCACGUUUGUAUGGUUGCGCUAGAGGUGAAAUUCAUGGACCGUAGCCAGACAAACAAAAGCGAAAGCAUUCGUCAAGCAUGAAUUCAUUGACCAUGAGCGAAAGUCAGAGGCUCGAAGACGAUCAGAUACCGUCCUAGUUCUGACCAUAUUCGAUGCCAACUGACGAUCCGUGGUGGUAGUAAAUUAACCUUCCUCACGCCCAGUCACCGGGAAACCUUUAAGUCUUUGGGUUCCGGGGCUUGUAUGGUUGCAAAGCUGAAACUUAAAGGAAUUGACGGAAGGGCACCACCAGGACAGGAGCCUGCGGCUUAAUUUGACUCAACACGGGAAAACUCACCCGGGCCGGACACUGUUUGGAUUGACAGAUUGAUAGCUCUUUCUUGAUUCGGUGGUUGGUGGUGCAUGGCCGUUCUUAGUUGGUGGAGCGAAAUGUCUGGUUAAUUCCGAUAACGAACGAGACUCUAGCC
Molecule: ribosomal RNA, 840 nt
Filed under: Nybelinia exostigmi
Lineage: Eukaryota; Metazoa; Platyhelminthes; Cestoda; Trypanorhyncha; Tentaculariidae
Description: SSU rRNA
Rfam family: Eukaryotic small subunit ribosomal RNA
Source: RNAcentral